UAAUGUCUGGGAAACUGCCUGAUGGAGGGGGAUAACUACUGGAAACGGUAGCUAAUACCGCAUAAUGUCGCAAGACCAAAGUGGGGGACCUUCGGGCCUCAUGCCAUCAGAUGUGCCCAGAUGGGAUUAGCUAGUAGGUGGGGUAAUGGCUCACCUAGGCGACGAUCCCUAGCUGGUCUGAGAGGAUGACCAGCCACACUGGAACUGGGACACGGUCCAG
RNAcentral lists this ribosomal RNA (220 nucleotides) under uncultured bacterium. RNAcentral describes it as "partial 16S ribosomal RNA". It matches the Rfam family "Bacterial small subunit ribosomal RNA", at positions 111 to 334 of the family's 1533-position model. The record is from RNAcentral.